GGUAACAAAAGGAAAUUGAGCACUGCCAUAGCAUUAGUUGGCAAUCCUCCAAUAGUAUUUCUGGAUGAGCCAACAACAGGGAUGGAUCCAGUAGCUAGGCGACAUCUGUGGGAUGUUUUAUCCAAUAUACGUGAUUCUGGGAGAACGCUUGUAUUAACAUCACAUAGCAUGGAGGAGUGUGAAGCCUUAUGUACUAGACUGGCUAUCAUGGUCAAUGGACAGUUUAAAUGUUUAGGUAGUCCACAACAUCUAAAGAACAAGUUCGGUGAAGGGUAUUCUCUACUAGCCAGAGUUGGAACACCAUCAGAUGGCACAGAACCAAAUAUUCAACCAUUAAUGAGAUUCAUUAAAGAAAAAUUUCCUGACAGUGAAAUUAAAGAUGUACAUCAAGAAAUGAUUCAUUAUCAUGUUAAAGACACAAAAUUGACGUGGGCCAAGAUAUUUGGAUUAAUGGAACAAGCAAAGAUUAAAUACAAUAUAGAAGACUAUUCUGUUAGUCAAACAACAUUAGAACAGGUUUUCAUUAAUUUUGCAAGGUCACAAAUUCCACCGAUAGAAACAAAAUUACAAUGUUGCCAAAAGUGUUCUAUUGUUUGUGGUUUAUGUUGUUGUAAUAAUUCUUAAUUUGUUUAUUUUUGUUUGUUUCUUACUGUGAUAAAUUGUGUAAUAACUAUAUGUCUGACGAGUACUCAAAACAUUAGUGAUUUUUAAAAAUAGUACUGACAUUCAUGCAUAGAUUUUAUUGAAUCAAGUGGAAUAUAUAAUUUUAGAAUUAAGAACAAUAUAUACUGAUUUUUUGCAAUUUUGUUGAUUACAUGUUGAUCGUAUAUAAUUAAGGUUUUUAACACAUAAACAAUAUAUAUUUAUAAUAAAUUUUUUUAGCUCAAUUUUUAUAAUAUGUAUAAAUUUAAAUUUUGAUAUGAUGGUAAUAUUAGGUAGUUGAAUUGAUAAACUGUUAAAAAUAAUUAUAGAUCAACAUUCUUGUAAUUAAAAUCGAUUUAUAUAGGUGGAUUGUUUGAAUACAGUGAAAACUUAUUGUUCAUUAAAGCAGUGGCGGAUCCAGGGGGGUUCUGGGGGCUGGAAACCCCCCCCCCCCCCUUUUUUUUGACGAUCAAUGCAUUUGAAUGGGGAUAUAUAGUUGGAACCCCCCCUUUUAAAAAUGGCUGGAUCCGCCCCUGUAAAGGACUGUUUUAUUUUGAAGUGUGGUACCUGAAUUUCUUUAAUACUCCUAUUUAAUAGUACAAAUAGUGCACAUGAUUGUGAAUUGCAUCUCAAGUUGUAAGUAACCUACAUAUAUAUCGUGUUUCCAUGGUACCAUAACAGUUUAAGUGGAACAGUCCUGCAUAGUUUCAGCAAUUUUUUUUAGGACAUUUGUAAUAUUUUGUACCUGUGUAUUUAUGUAUGUGUUCUUUGUAUUUUUUCUUAUCUGUGAUAAAAUAAACAAUUCCACCUAUCUUAAUAACAAUUAUCUUUUAAGAAACUCAAAUGAGUGUGUGUGAUUUAAGGCCUUUUUAGACCCUUUAUUUGAUAUGAGAUAUAAUUUAAAUGAUGAUGAUUAGACUGUAUUUAAUUGAAUUAACACAAAAAAAAUUUAAAUACUACUUUCUUUCUAUUAAAAACGUAUUACAAACCCCUUCCUGUCAACACAAAUUUUGAUCAAUUGAUGUUUUUUUUUUUAAAACAUGAACAUGCGAGUGAUAUUGGCCACAAUACCGGAUCAACAAACCAAGAUGCCCUUUUAAUAUGGUAAUUUGUAAGGUAACAGUUAGAUAAGAGAUUUGGGGUGUUUCUAAGACACAUUAUUUUGACUCCAUGACCUCUAGGAUUUGUUCAUACUUUGAUUGGUUAAUGCCUAGCAAAAAGGAGCAAAUGAAGAUUAUGAAGUUAGAUUCAACCUGCCUUUGAAAUCAAAUGCAUGACCUCUCGCAUCUCUGGUACAAAUAUUUGGUUUUUUUUAUGCCCCCGCCGUUUUUCAUUCCAUUCUCUAACUAGUUUGCCUCAACAAAAUGUUAUGAAACUUAUACACCACACUUAUUACCACAAAACACAUAUCAAGUUUGAAUUUUGGUGGCAUCACUUUUACUGUUCUAGAGUUAUGCCUCUUUACAAAUGGAAAAAAUGCUGAAUUUUUUGUUUCCAUUCUCUAACUUAAGUUUGCCUCAACCAAAUGUUAUGACUCUUAUACACAAUGCUUAUUACCACAAAACUCAGAUCAAGUUUGAAUUUUGAUGGCAUCACUUUUACCGUUCUAGCGUUAUAAAAUUUAUAAUGGAAAUGGGGAGUGUGUCAGAGAGACAGUAACCCGACCAAAGAGCAGAAAACAGCUCAAGGCCACCAAUGGGUCUUCAACACAGCGAAAAAAUCCCGCUCCUGGAGGCAGGCUUCAGCUGGCCUUGAAACAAAAAGGUGUACUAGUUCAGAGAAAAUGGACGUCACACUUAACUCCGAAACAUAUAGAUGAACCAAAAUUAAAAAAAGAACAUACAGAUCAUUUUGGCAAAUUUUUAAAAUCUAAUUUUUGGAAAUAAUUAUCUCAGUUGUAAGGCAAAUUCACAUCUGGAUGUGUAUAGUUUUUAUGCCCCCUCUGUAGCGGUGGGGGUAUUAAGUUUUACCCUUGUCCGUCUGUACAUACAUACGUACGCACGUCCCAAAAUUGCUUUCCAUUCUCUAACUUGAGUUUGCCUCAACCAAAUGUUAUGAAACUUAUACCAAUGCUUAUUACCACAAAACACAGAUUAAGUUUGAAUUUUGGUGGCGUCACUUUAACCGUUCUAGAGUUAUGCCCCUUUAUAAAUGGAAAAAUUGCAAAAUUUUUAGUUUCCGUUCUCUAACUUAAGUUUGCACAAUCAAAUGUUAUGAAACUUAUGCACAAUGAUUAUUACCACAAAACACAGAUCAAGUUUGAAUUUUGGUGGCGUCACUUUAAUGGUUCUAGAGUUAUGCCCCUUUAUAAAUGGAAAAAUUGAAAAAAAUUUAUUUUCUUCUAAAUAUCAAGUAAUUUUUAAAAUUGGAGUUAUCUUCCUUUGACCAUGAUUACAGUUGAAUCAACUACAAUCAAUGCUUUAUACAAUGCAAUUUUUAAUUUUGACUUCCACUGAUAAAACACAGAUCAAGUUGAAUUUGGGUAGCGUCACUUUAACCAUUAUUGAGUUAUGCCCCUUUAUAAAUGAAAGAUUGCAAAAUUUUAAGUUUCCAUUCUGUAACUUAAGUUUGCCCCAACCAAACAUUAUGAAACCUAUACACAAUAUUCAUUACCACAAAACUAAGAUCAAGUACAAUUUUUUUGUUUCCGUUUUCUAACUUUAGUUUGCCUCAAUCAAAUGUUAUGAAACUUAUACACAAUGCUUAUUACUACAUAAUACAGAUUAAGUACGAAAUUUGGUGGUGACACUUUUACCAUUCUUGAGUUAUGUCCCUUUAUAAACAUAAAAAUUGCUGAAUUUUUCGUUUCCGUUCUCUAACUUUAGUUUGUCUCAACCAAAUGUUUUAAAACUUAUACACAACAGUUCUAGAGUUAUGCGUGUUUACAAAUAGAAAAAUUGCUGAAUUUUUAGUUUCUGUUCUCUACUUAAGUUAGCCUCAACCAAAUGUUAUGAGACUUACACACAAUGCUUAUUAACACAAAACUCAGAUCAAGUUCAAAUUUGGGUAGCAUCACUUUUACCGUUCUUCAGUUAUGUCCCUUUAUAACUAUAUGAUAUGCAAGCGGGGGCAUCAUCUGUGUCCACAUGUGGACACUAUCCACAUUUAUUUUUACCUGCGUUGAUAAAGGCAGAAGCAGGUCUAGUAACUGCUCUUCUGCGAAACGUCCUUUCUAAAGAAAACUUUGACAAAGUUUAUUAUACCCCACGCAACGAGUUGCGGAGGGUAUAAUGUUUAUGACCCGUCUGUCCGUCCAUACGUCAGUCCGUCAGUCCUGUUUCUUGUCAUCGCAACUCCUCUCAAACCACACAACAGAAUUUCACGAAACCUAUAUGAACUAUUGCACACUAAUGAUACCUUCACAAAGUAUUUGGUAAUGAAAGAACCUUAGUUUUGUUAAUCCUUUAAUUAGGAUUUAGUGACCAAUAUCAAAAUGAAUCAUAGCUAAUACAACGACUAGAUAAGAAAUAUGUCUUUUUGUUGAAAAUUUACAUACUUGUGCUCUAUUCAUGACGUUACAAAUAGCACUCGUGUUGAUUUUCCAUGAAAAUUCAAUGAAAAGGGUAAAUUUCCAUUGAUUUUUUGGAAAGGAAACAUUGAGCUCAUGUGUUGACAAAAAAGAUCUUUUAACAUAAUGUUUGUUAUGACAUUUUACAUAUCUGAUGAUAUUUGUUGAAGCCUGUGUUCUAUAUCCCUAUGCCGUAAUUUGGUUGAAAUCCAGAUGAAAUUUUGCAAUCUCUAUUUGUGACCAAAUUGGGAUGUCAAAAUCAAGGCUUUAAAAUAAAACAUUUUUUAUCUUGUAAUAAUUUAAUUUUGGAUGUAACACGUCUUCUGAUUGGCUGAAAGUGUUUUGUCUAUCAGCUCAUAGACAUAAUUUUGUCAUGUGACUGUGACGUCAACAUUUUUAUCAACAUUUACUCCUUUUUAGAAUUAAAUUAUAAGGAACAACUGUAAUAUUUUUUCUGUCUUUUUCGAAAUAACCCCAAAAAUGUGGUGCACACUUUUAAAUAACCUGCUACCUGGUUAUUCAGUGUGCACCACAUAUUUGAUGUUAUUUCUUCAUAAAAAUAUUAGUCAUUCCUUAAACAUUGAACCUAAUAAUCAUAAUAAUAAUAAUCAUAAAGCAAUGGAUUUGUAAAUACAUGACAUAGUAUAGCAUGAUCACUGUAUUUGGCCCUUACCGAACUCACUCAUUUCAUGGGAUGGAUGGAUAGAUGGACAGAUGGGUAAAACAAAAUAGGAACAGGGGUAUCAUAAAUAUCACUUUUCCAUAGAAAUAAAAACCUUGAUUCUUCUGGGGUUGGCUUGAGCUUGCAGUUGUAGAAAAUAUUGGCAUUUUUAAAUAAACUUUCUGACGCGUUAAUGAUAAAUGGAAGUUCACUUCUACAUCAGUUACAUUAAACAACUCUUUCCCAAUAUGAAUUAUAAAUUCACCAGAUCUUGUUCUCAAAUUAUACAAAUAUUCCACCUGGCAGGGGGACAUUGUAUUACAUAAGCAAUACCUCAAGAAUGUGUGUUAAUAAAUAAAUUGAAAUUCUUCCAAUAAAUCCUUAAAAAUAAACUUACUUUUUACAUUUUUUAACUUCCCUUACUAUAUUUGUCAUUUGAUUAUUCCCCAUGUGCUAAACAAAUAUGACUUAAAAAGUAAAAAGAUAAUGUAUUCAUAAAUGUUAUAAUGAACAUGUGUAUUUGUUUUGACAUUUAUCAUGUGACUAAGGUCUACUCAGUAAUUGAGUAUUUCACGAGUUAAAAUAAGUGUUAAGAAUUGUAACGGUAAAUCUAUGUUUAAUUACGGUAUGUGUUAUUCGAAGCUUGCUUCAUACAGUUGAGUCUGGUCAUUUCUGAUCCCCCACCUAUCCACUUAUAUUUUAUCAAAGUUUUAUUUGAUGUAUUCAUACUUGUAUGUCUGAUUUAAGUGGACAUUUUUAAGAUUUUACAUUGUUGAAUUGAUUGGUAACACAAAUUAUUUUUUUUGUAAGUUGUGUAUUGAUUAAUGACAUGUUGAGGCAGCGGCUAAGGACAUGCAGACAAAUAUGAACAUUGGUGCAUUGUAAAUAAAAUUGAUAAAAGUUGCUUAACUGUACUGUCCAGAGGAGCUGAUAACCCAAA
Mytilus californianus (California mussel) is the source of this 5751-nucleotide long non-coding RNA. RefSeq lists it as uncharacterized. NCBI's taxonomy places the organism in Eukaryota, Metazoa, Mollusca, Bivalvia, Mytilida, Mytilidae. The transcript is spliced from 2 exons. The record is from RefSeq and is a predicted model, not a curated record.